This 495-nucleotide ribosomal RNA is filed under the name uncultured bacterium. Its description in RNAcentral is "partial 16S ribosomal RNA". It matches the Rfam family "Bacterial small subunit ribosomal RNA", at positions 28 to 507 of the family's 1533-position model. The record is from RNAcentral.
GACGAACGCUGGCGGCGUGCCUAAUACAUGCAAGUCGAACGCAGAAGGAGGAGCUUGCUUCUCUGGAUGAGUUGCGCACGGGUGAGUAACGCGUAGGUAACCUGCCUGGUAGCGGGGGAGAACUAUUGGAAACGAUAGCUAAUACCGCAUAAUAGUAGAUGUUGCAUGACAUUUGCUUAAAAGGUGCAAUUGCAUCACUACCAGAUGGACCUGCGUUGUAUUAGGUAGUUGGUGGGGUAACGGCUCACCAAGGCGACGAGUCAUAGCCGACCCGAGAGGGGGGUCGGCCACACUGGGACCGGGGCCCGGCCCAGACUCCUACGGGAGGCAGCCGUAAGGAAACUUCGGCAAUGGACGGAAGUCUGACCGAGCAACGCCGCGUGGGGGGAGAAGGUUUUCGGAUCGUAAAGAUCUGUUGUAAGGGAAGAACGAGUGUGAGAGUGGAAAGUUCACACUGUGACGGUAUCUUACCAGAAAGGGACGGCUAACUACGUG